Molecule: long non-coding RNA, 1248 nt
Organism: Gadus macrocephalus (Pacific cod)
Lineage: Eukaryota; Metazoa; Chordata; Actinopteri; Gadiformes; Gadidae
Exons: 3
Source: RefSeq, a predicted model, not a curated record
CAACUUUGUUAUCUUUGGGGGCAUAGAUGGCUAUUCAAGAAAGGUAAGAGUUUUCACUGUCUGGGACCAAGAACUGCAAAAUGUUGCUGACCAUCCCUGUUUUAAGGAAGGAGGAUGUUUUUCUCAUUCAUAAGCCAGUUUAUUUUGUACAAUCUGGUGAUCCUUAGGUAUAAAUAUUUGUGUCAUCUACUCUUUUCCAUUGCUGAGGAGAAGCAGGCUUUGUAUGAAUUCACUUGAUAAAGUUGUUAUUCAAAAUUUCCGGUUGACCUAUAACAUUUCUUUCAAAGUGUUCAUCUAUCCUAUUCAGUGAGCUCUGACUUAAUUUCUCUUAUCAUAAGACUUGUCUGAUCUGUCACAUGAUCCUGUUAUGUUUAAUAAUUCUGUAGUGAGCUUUCUUGCUGUUGCACAUGUCAUUUGGGCAUUGAUUGUUUUGGCCCUUAGAAAACGUUGUCAGCUGACCUAUGUCACGAGAAAAACUGAUUCAGCAUAGUACUAAUGUAUUGUUCAAUCUUAACUUGUAGAUUAUGUACCUGAAAGUAGCUGACAACAACCGGUCUGACACCCACUUGGACUUCUUCAAUGAAGCUGUGAACAAGCAUGGGUUUCCUCUGAGAGUGAGAGGAGAUCAUGGAGGAGAAAAUGUUGGAGUAGCGGAAUUAAUGUUCUCAGUUCGUGGCACUGACAGUAACAGCUUCAUUGCCGGGAAAAGCGUGCACAAUCAACGCAUUGAACACCUCUGGCGUGAUGUCUUCAUGAGUGUUACAGGUGUUUAUUAUAACAUCCUGCACUCUCUUGAGGAUCAACACCGGCUUGACAUCAGCAGCAUCCUGCACAUUUUCUGCUGCCACUACGUUUUUCUGCCACGCAUCCAGGCUAGCCUGGAUGUCUUCAGUGAGGCGUGGGACAACCAUUCCAUCAGGACAGAGCAAAACCUGACACCAAAUCAGUUGUGGCAUGUGGGCCAGUCCCUGAAUCCUGUUGUUGAUCCUGAGGUAAAUUAUGUUUUUUUUUUUUUUUUCAAAUGUCUUGACAAUCUUUUGUUGAUCCUUAAUCAGUAAAAAAGUCAAACAUUCUAAAAUGUAUGUUCUGAUCAGCGUUAACCAUAAGCGCACCCCCCUUCUUGGAUUUAAACAGCCUUGGCUUUGUGCAAUAAACCAAAGGGUUCUUUCUACCACAACUGUACAGUACCUUAGGACAUGUGUUUGUGAUGUAUUGGAGUAUAUGAUAUGGGCCAGUAGUGCCCAGGUA